GAUGAACGCUGGCGGCGUGCCUAAUACAUGCGAGUCGAGCGAACAGACGAGGAGCUUGCUCCUCUGACGUUAGCGGCGGACGGGUGAAUAACACGUGGAUAACCUACCUAUAAGACUGGGAUAACUUCGGGAAACCGGAGCUAAUACCGGAUAAUAUAUUGAACCGCAUGGUUCAAUAGUGAAAGACGGUUUUGCUGUCACUUAUAGAUGGAUCCGCGCCGCAUUAGCUAGUUGGUAAGGUAACGGCUUACCAAGGCAACGAUGCGUAGCCGACCUGAGAGGGUGAUCGGCCACACUGGAACUGAGACACGGUCCAGACUCCUACGGGAGGCAGCAGUAGGGAAUCUUCCGCAAUGGGCGAAAGCCUGACGGAGCAACGCCGCGUGAGUGAUGAAGGUCUUCGGAUCGUAAAACUCUGUUAUUAGGGAAGAACAAAUGUGUAAGUAACUAUGCACGUCUUGACGGUACCUAAUCAGAAAGCCACGGCUAACUACGUG
Molecule: ribosomal RNA, 497 nt
Filed under: uncultured bacterium
Lineage: Bacteria
Description: partial 16S ribosomal RNA
Rfam family: Bacterial small subunit ribosomal RNA
Source: RNAcentral